UGGGGAAUAUUGGACAAUGGGCGCAAGCCUGAUCCAGCCAUCCCGCGUGAAGGACGACGGCCCUAUGGGUUGUAAACUGCUUUUAUACGGGAAUAAACCUACUUUCGUGUAAGUAGCUGAAUGUACUGUAAGAAUAAGGAUCGGCUAACUCCGUGC
Molecule: ribosomal RNA, 156 nt
Filed under: uncultured bacterium
Lineage: Bacteria
Description: partial 16S ribosomal RNA
Rfam family: Bacterial small subunit ribosomal RNA
Source: RNAcentral